UACAAGGUAGACCUUUCUGCAUUCAAGGA
This 29-nucleotide non-coding RNA is filed under the name Mus musculus (house mouse). The record is from RNAcentral. Lineage: Eukaryota; Metazoa; Chordata; Mammalia; Rodentia; Muridae.